Molecule: long non-coding RNA, 502 nt
Organism: Macrobrachium nipponense
Lineage: Eukaryota; Metazoa; Arthropoda; Malacostraca; Decapoda; Palaemonidae
Exons: 4
Source: RefSeq, a predicted model, not a curated record
UGUUAGCUUUAACUGACAAUGAAGAGGUCAAGAAUGAAGAAAACUUAGAUGACGAAAUAUUGUUCAAUCUUCUCCUUCUUUCUGAGUUGGUGAGAUGUGGAGGGCACCUCGUUGAAUAUGUGCCUCAGAUAAUGCAGGUUCUACGGCAGACAUUGCAUCUAAAGUGCCGAGAAGGGUAUCACUUAGCAGGAUCUGUAUUAAGAUUCCUCCUUAAAUAUUUAGGUGUUAGCUUCCCAUCUGAGUAUCGAUCUUUAUCGUAUGACUGGGAUACACCCCUGACAGAGUAUUUGCCCAUAAGGCACUGGGGAGAAGCUGGUCAUAUUCACAACCUUGGCAUUAAGUGGGUGGUGGGAGCCAGGCAAAGCUGAGGAGGAAGCUAUGUUCAGAUCUCGUCCGUACUUUCUUGACCCCCUGAGCUGAAGCUGUUAAAGGAAGUUGCUCUUGGAGAGAAGGAAGUGUCCAGGGAGGUUCUUCAACAGAGUCUGAGUAUCACACUAGAUGU